This is a long non-coding RNA of Triticum dicoccoides, 528 nucleotides long. RefSeq lists it as uncharacterized. The record is from RefSeq and is a predicted model, not a curated record. The transcript has 4 exons. NCBI's taxonomy places the organism in Eukaryota, Viridiplantae, Streptophyta, Magnoliopsida, Poales, Poaceae.
CCAACUCUCUUCGCUGACCUAAGCCUAAACAAGAAGCUCAUGUGCUAUCUUCUACGCACAAGAAUACUCCACGGGCCAGUUACCAAAUCAUGCUGUCCGAGGAUACCAGUGAAGAAGAAAGUGCAUCAACCCCGGUCACAACAAAUACUAAUAGCAUCGAUCGUCUACCUUCUAAAAGUAACAAGAAGAUGAGAACCGCACGCCGAACACUAUUCCCUGGAAAAUAGAGCAGCCCACACGCCAUUGCAGACUCCCAUCAUCACAGCAACACGAUGGAAUAAGUCAUUCUCCGAGUCUACGUUGCAUUGAACCUUGCCAGAUUCAGGACCCGUCGCUUUUGUCAUACACGCAGCUUGAUCUCGCAGCUGCAUGGAACUAUGUAAAAAUGCAUGGAACCCUCUGUUAUGCUACUCCACUUAGAUGCAAAUUACAUGCUUUUGUACCUUCUCACGUCUUCCUGUCAUGUAAUGGACAUAUUAUGAUCAUAUCAUAUAUCUAUCUACGUCGAACGAAGGCAGUUUACAUUCA